UACGGGAGGCAGCAGUGGGGAAUAUUGCACAAUGGGCGAAAGCCUGAUGCAGCUAUGCCGCGUGUAUGAAGAAGGCCUUAGGGUUGUAAAGUACUUUCAUCGGGGAGGAAAAACAAAACUAAUAAUUUUAUUUCUUGACGUUACCCGAAAAAGAAGCACCGGCUAACUCCGUGCCAGCAGCCGCGGUAAUACGGAGGGUGCUAGCGUUAAUCAGAAUUACUGGGCGUAAAGAGCACGUAGGUGGUUUUUUUAAAGUCAGAUGUGAAAUCCCUGGGCUUAACCUAGGAACUGCAUUUUGAAACUGAAAUACUAGAGUAUCGUAGAGGGAGGUAGAAUUCUAGGUGUAGCGGUGAGAUGCGUAGAUAUCUGGAGGAAUACCUGUGGCGAAAGCGGCCUCCUAAACGAAUACUGACACUGAGGUGCGAAAGCGUGGGGAGCAAACAGGGAUUAGAUACC
This 456-nucleotide ribosomal RNA is filed under the name uncultured bacterium. RNAcentral describes it as "bacterial SSU rRNA". It matches the Rfam family "Bacterial small subunit ribosomal RNA", at positions 340 to 786 of the family's 1533-position model. The record is from RNAcentral.